ACCUUCAUUCAUAAAACAAGAGCCAUCAUCAUCUUCUUCAUUGCACAUCGCCGUUGCUGCUACUCCCCCGAAUCCAGUGGGAGUUUUCCGAUCAGUGCCAUCGACGGUUUCUUUGGUGCUCACAGUUCGAUCCGACGUAAACCAGCCAAGUUCAUUAGGCAUUCGAAUGUCGUCAGAUGCUAAAUUAGUCCACCAGUUGGGGUAGUCGACAAGGCAAAAGCAUUGAUCUUUGGUGUGCUUGGUCAUACCGCAGUGGUCACACUUCAGGUUUGCGGGUUGUAAUGAUAUACCGGAACCCGAGCUGCCGUCUCCGGACAUGGUAGCUCAGAUGGGUUAUCAAUUUGAGAAAGGGGCGGAAGAAAAAUCAAGAGGUAUAUGAUGAGCAAUCAUGUUCUGAUACCAUCUUAACUUUUAUUGAGAGAUUUUUUUGAUUGAAUACUUGAAUGAAUGAAUUACAAUGAGGACAGCCACUAUUUAUACAACUUUACAAUGUUUUAAAUAUAGAAAACAACUAUCAAUGGCUGGCAAUUGUGAAGGAAUAGAAACCAAAAAAUUUGCCCCUCUAAAUUAAAGGGAAAUGAUGCGUUGAUUGCCAAUUUGCUGAUCACAUAAAAUCUUUGUUUUUAUUCUUCUUUUUGACAAAAACAACACCUAGUUACCAAGUAAUGUUUCAGAGAGAGGUAGUUAGAGGUCUGGUUGAUUGAAUACUGUGAUACUGACUAUGCUCAAGAUUUUACUACUCACCGUUCGACGACCGGUUACGUGUUUAUGGUUGAAUUUCAAAAUUAUGGUUUAGUUUAGUUUGAAAUUAGAAUAAGUUGGAAAGGACUAAAGGGUGCUAUACAUAACCCUCAUCUAGUAUUUGUUUUCUAGUCGUUUUCAACCCUCAUUGUAAAUACUUUUGUAUAUAUUUUGAUGGCUUUUAGAUGAUGUAGAAUUUGAAAGUAUGGGUAGGUGUUUUGGUUCUAUAAAUCACCAGAAAGGAUAAUCUUGAGCCCAUGCUUUCCAAAUUGUGACGAGCAAAUUAAUGGGGAACAUGCUCUCCAUUCCGAUAGGAAAU
Long non-coding RNA from Helianthus annuus (common sunflower), 1060 nucleotides. RefSeq lists it as uncharacterized. The record is from RefSeq and is a predicted model, not a curated record. The transcript has 3 exons. Lineage: Eukaryota; Viridiplantae; Streptophyta; Magnoliopsida; Asterales; Asteraceae.